CUUUAUUAGUUAACAUCUACCAAUAUGAACAUUUAAUUUUUUAUAUUAAUAUAUACAGAUUUGACAUAUUUAUAUGACAAUACACUACAAACCAUUAAAGUCUGAAAUGGCCUAUAUCUGUACUCGACUGUACUGAUUUUUACUCGACCAGUCUGAAUUGGUCUGACUUUUACUUGACAUUACUCGACCCCAGUCUGAACCAUACUUGACUGUACUGAAUCGUACUUGACCCUUAUCUUUGCCGUUGAAAAUAGUCCAAACUAUUACUCGACUAGUCUGAAACAGUCUUAACCUAUUCUCGACAUGUACUCGGCCUAUUUUUCCAGUCUAAACCAUACUUAACCAAAGGUCUGAAAAAUACUCGACCAGUCUGAACCAUACUAUACUAAAAACCUCUACUUUUUUAACUGUUAAAAUAAAUUUCUUUUUAACUGACAUAUAUAACAACAGCCAACAAAAUUUAUAAAGAAUGUUAACCUUAUAAAAGAAAUAUAUCUCUGAUUAUAUUUAGGAUAGAAACAAAUAUAUUAUAUAUAACUUAUAUCAAAAAGGGAUAAAAUUAAAUAAAUAAAUAGAAUUGUUUUUCUAAUUAGUGGUGAAAUAUAAAGUAUAACCUCUGCUUGGGGGCAAACUCAUAAAUAAGAUCACACCUGGUCAGAGGUAUUAAAUUCUAAAUAACAUUGAUUCAAAAUUGCAACAUCCUGUUUAAAUUAAAUAACAAGGCCUUUCGAAUAUACAUGUAUGUACUAGAUAAGUAAUACACAAUUCUAAGAAAGUAGGGCUUUCUUUUUACCUGUAAAACACACAUGUACUGAGGUAAUUAGAAC
RNAcentral lists this long non-coding RNA (827 nucleotides) under Mytilus galloprovincialis (Mediterranean mussel). Lineage: Eukaryota; Metazoa; Mollusca; Bivalvia; Mytilida; Mytilidae. The record is from RNAcentral.